AAGAGCUCUCCUCUCAUUUCAGUGAAGAGGCUCUUUCAGCUCGUCUCAGCUUGUUUUCAGCAGGUGUUUCUGGGCGUCUAAAGCACAGAGGCUUGGAAGAUUCUGUGAAGAAAAUAACAUGGAAUACAGGGAAUAUUUAGAUUCAUCAUGUCAUAAGAGGGAUCUGCCCAGUGUCCAAGAUGAUGUUUGAGAUUGAGGCUUCAGGUGCCACUCCUAAUAAAGGCCACAGCCUUGGAAUCAGGAUGAAGCUGGAGCCUGAGGGAGCCAGGCACACUCAGGAGAGGGCA
Molecule: long non-coding RNA, 287 nt
Organism: Melozone crissalis (California towhee)
Lineage: Eukaryota; Metazoa; Chordata; Aves; Passeriformes; Passerellidae
Exons: 3
Source: RefSeq, a predicted model, not a curated record